CGACAGGUGAGCGACUUGUGAUUCUCCUCACGACGAGCGCAAGGUGGGACACGAGGUGGGACACGGUGACAGCCAGGUGAACAGAGGGUCCUUGUCGCCUACACGUGUCAAUGUUUCACCUUUGUCGGCCGCAGCAUGUCUAAAAAAUUUCGGCUAAUCUCAUGGCUGGGAAAUAUUGUGGAAGGUCAAUGAGAUUGAGAUAUAAACACAACUACAGAAGUAAAGCAACAACAUGUCUGUCAACAAUAGUGAAAAAGAAACAAUAGUGGAAAUGAGGCUUCACGAUUAUCAGCUGUUGCUAUCAAUGAGGCCCCAGCGGUUUACAUUUCGGCUCAGAAGAAAGGACGGAGAGAAAAAAAAACACCUUCCAGGCACGUCGUUAUAACAACCAGACUGCCAUCUGCUGAAGCAAAACACACAAAAAGUCGUCUGGGAGAUAAACAUCUUGGACAUAUUUCUUAGGAAACUGUGUCCCGAGACAGUGGCUGAAGCUGGUCGAGCGACAAAUUGCUGGAUGCCAGUGUUUCUAUGUCAUCGAGUUCUUUCUUCACCGAGGUUUUUCUUUUUUUUUUUUUUUUUUAGUACAGGAUUGUGUGUCUGCAAUUUACUUGGAUUUGGAAAGCUUUCUUUUCUAUGAUUGCACUUUUUUUAAAAAGUGCUUGCCCCAACCUUCAACUUAAAUAUUAAAAAGCCAGCAGAAUUUCUUAAACUCGACAGAUUGUGAUAGUCAUGAACGGUAUGUUUGUGUGCGCGUGCCUAUGUCUGAGCGUGCACGUGCGUGUGUAUGCGUGCGUCCUUAAGGAAUGCAUACGAGGAAGGAGAGAGAGAUCAAAUUGCAAGAAGAUGAAAAAUGUUAAACCAGAACAGCUGUCGCCAGACACUACACAUCCCUGCACAACACCUCUACAGACAUCUUUGUCGCCAGCCACGUGCAUGGAGUAGACUGGUCCCAAGCUCUGAGCUGCUAUUGUAACAUCUACGUGUUCAUCAGUCGUCGUGAAAGAAAUACAAACAAAAGGAGUUUAUCCGUUCUACAAACUAUUCCUUGUACAACGUGUGUUCCCGUAGCGCCGUCUGGCGAGGACAACUCCAUGUUGUGCUGACCUGGGCCCUGACUUUGGACUGGGUCUGUGGUGUGUUAAAAAACCACUCACCCAACCUUACUCUCUAUCGAAAGUCAAAGGUUAGUUGUAAAGACGAGUUCAAAAGUUCAAAGACUAUGUCAGAAAGUAAACGAACUGUGUUUAGACGGCGCAUGGGAUUUUUUUUGGACACGUGACUUUUGAAACCUUUGCGUGAAAACGUUUACAGGUAAACAGCGAAAGUGGCCUGAAGAUCUUGGCAGACACCUCAUGGGAUACGACUCCUGCUGCACAGGUGUUGAGAUAGAAGGUAGAUGAGGAUAAACAAAAGUUUCAAGGCAGUAAAACACACACACAGUCUCUUUCUCUCUCAGACAUUCUCUCUCUCUCACACACACACAUAAAUAAACACACUUGCAAACAAACACAUGCAUACACGCACUCUCACAGGGUAAAGAAGAAGACAGAGAUGAGAGCAGCAGGUGCAGGUUCUGUGCUUUGAAUCCCUGCGGCCAUGACGACGAGAAUAAAACCUUGCGACUUUAAGUCACGUGACAUGGGGCUUGAGGCACGUGCGGCGCGAACACGCUGCUUUCUCGCAAGGAUGAACGCAGAGCCUCAUUCACAGAAGAAUUAAGAAAUGUGGAAUUUGCUGCUAAACAUACCGUGUUCCUUACUGCUUGCCAGUUGGGGAUAAACAGCAUAAAGGACCAUUUAAAUCACGGAUCUUUAAACCACGGAUCUCUGCCUCUUCAACUAGACAUUUUUUUUUUCAAAUCGGGGUUCAAACAUUGAUCAUAAAACCAAAUAUUUUAAGUGUUCAAUAAAAGAUCUUGAAACCACGGAUCUUCAAGAAACUGGUCUUCAAAAUUCACCUUUAAAAUACGUCUUAAGAUCCCGGACCUUCAGACUGCGGAUCUUUAACCCCCCGAUUUUCAAACCCAGGUGGACACACUUUGCUGCCCGAUCAACAAACGCUAGCCAAACACAGGCCACUUAUUAGGAACAGAACAAGGGCAGACAAAUGGCCUUCAGGGGACGGAAUUACACGAAAAUCCUCCAAAUUGACGUUCAUUGACCAGCUUUCUGGGGUCAAUCGAUGACCGUUCAGUGCCCUGUGCUUUCGGGUUGAACUGUUUG
This is a long non-coding RNA of Pomacea canaliculata, 2222 nucleotides long. RefSeq lists it as uncharacterized. The record is from RefSeq and is a predicted model, not a curated record. The transcript is spliced from 3 exons. NCBI's taxonomy places the organism in Eukaryota, Metazoa, Mollusca, Gastropoda, Architaenioglossa, Ampullariidae.